GACGAACGCUGGCGGCGUGCCUAAUACAUGCAAGUAGAACGCUGAAGGAGGAGCUUGCUCUUCUGGAUGAGUUGCGAACGGGUGAGUAACGCGUAGGUAACCUGCCUGGUAGCGGGGGAUAACUAUUGGAAACGAUAGCUAAUACCGCAUAACAGUAGAUGUUGCAUGACAUUUGCUUAAAAGGUGCAAUUGCACCACUACCAGAUGGACCUGCGUUGUAUUAGCUAGUUGGUGGGGUAACGGCUCACCAAGGCGACGAUACAUAGCCGACCUGAGAGGGGGAUCGGCCACACUGGGACUGAGACACGGCCCAGACUCCUACGGGAGGCAGCAGUAGGGAAUCUUCGGCAAUGGACGGAAGUCUGACCGAGCAACGCCGCGGGAGUGAAGAAGGGUGUCGGAUCGUAAAGCUCUGUUGUAAGAGAAGAACGAGUGUGAGAGUGGAAAGUUCACACUGUGACGGUAGCUUACCAGAAAGGGACGGCUAACUACGUG
This 495-nucleotide ribosomal RNA is filed under the name uncultured bacterium. RNAcentral's name for it is "partial 16S ribosomal RNA". It matches the Rfam family "Bacterial small subunit ribosomal RNA", at positions 28 to 507 of the family's 1533-position model. The record is from RNAcentral.